GACGAACGCUGGCGGCGUGCUUAAUACAUGCAAGUAGAACGCUGAAGGCGGAGCUUGCUUCUCUGGAUGAGUUGCGAACGGGUGAGUAACGCGUAGGUAACCUGCCUGGUAGCGGGGGAUAACUAUUGGAAACGAUAGCUAAUACCGCAUAAGAGUAGAUGUUGCAUGACAUUUGCUUAAAAGGUGCAAUUGCAUCACUAACAGAUGGACCUGCGUUGUAUUAGCUAGAUGGUGAGGUAACGGCUCACCAAGGCAACGAUACAUAGCCGAACUGUGAGGGGGAUCGGCCGCACUGGGACGGAGACACGGCCAAGAGGCCUACGGGAGGGCGCAGAAGGGAAUCUGCGGCAAUGGACGGAAAUCUGGCCGAGCAACGCGACGUGAGUUAAGACGGUUUUCGGAUCGGAAAGCUCUGUUGUGAGAGAAGAACGAGUUUGAGAGUGGAAAGUGCACACUGGGACGGUAUCGUACAAGAAGGGCCCGCCAACCUCCGG
This 494-nucleotide ribosomal RNA is filed under the name uncultured bacterium. Its description in RNAcentral is "partial 16S ribosomal RNA". It matches the Rfam family "Bacterial small subunit ribosomal RNA", at positions 28 to 506 of the family's 1533-position model. The record is from RNAcentral.